UCCUCCUUCCCAUCCAUCGGCUGGACUCCUUCACCCGUGGGCUCCUCCCAAUCUCUCGUCCCAGCAGCUGGUUGCCAUCUGCUCCCGACUGCCUGCUCCCGUCGCUGCCGACCUGCUCCUCCAUGGCUUCACCGGUGAGCAAGGUAACAUCUUCUUCCCCUCUCAGCCUCUGUAGCCGUUGUGAUCUGGUACAUCUUUGAUUCAAUUUCCAAUUUCAUACAGCCAUACAUUCAAAUGUGUGAGUGUGAUCAGUGAUCAAUAUGUAUGACAGUAUGAGUCGUGAUGAUCUAUUUGGGGAGUAGUUGUAAUGUAAGUAUGUAACUACUUAAGAUUAGUAGAUGGAUGGGUUGUUCCAACUAAAUUCUUCGGACAUUCACAGAUUCACUCCAAUUACAGUAAUUUAGUAGACGGAUGGAUGGCUUGAUGUAUGCCUGUCUAUUAUAGUAAUAAUUAAUGUAUUGGUUAAAAUGUUAAUGCAGAAGCACUCCAAUUAUAGCAAUGCACUAAUAAUCCAUGGAUAUUCUGCUUAGGGUAUAUUAAAUAUUAAUUGUGGGAUGAUCUAUACAUUAAAAACUCGUUGUUUAGCAAGUUAGGUGUAGGUUAUAUUAAUUUUGGGCGGAUCUGUACGUGCAAUAGUUGUCUAGCUGGGAUUUCUUAUGCGACUGUAACAUACUCAAAAGUCCUAACAAAUCUGAUUUUCUAUGGUAUGAUCUGUAGACUGUAGAUUAAUUAUUUAAUACUACAGAUCGCUCAUUGAUACUUAUUAUGUUUGCUCAUUCAAUAUAUUUGUAGGGGUCUACGGUUGCCUCUACCGGUGCAAGUUCUCAUACUCUCAAAAGAAAUUCAGAUGACAUGGGGUGGGAGUUUGCAACCUUGAUCAAUCCUUUAGAU
This 891-nucleotide long non-coding RNA is filed under the name Triticum aestivum (bread wheat). Its description in RNAcentral is "long non-coding RNA (TAES_LNC012517)". Lineage: Eukaryota; Viridiplantae; Streptophyta; Magnoliopsida; Poales; Poaceae. The record is from RNAcentral.